GAUGAACGCUGGCGGCGUGCCUAAUACAUGCAAGUCGAGCGAACGGACGAGAAGCUUGCUUCUCUGAUGUUAGCGGCGGACGGGUGAGUAACACGUGGAUAACCUACCUAUAAGACUGGGAUAACUUCGGGAAACCGGAGCUAAUACCGGAUGAUAUUUUGAACCGCAUGGUUCAAAAGUGAAAGACGGUCUUGCUGUCACUUAUAGAUGGAUCCGCGCUGCAUUAGCUAGUUGGUAAGGUAACGGCUUACCAAGGCAACGAUGCAUAGCCGACCUGAGAGGGAGAUCGGCCACACUGUAUCUGAGACACGGUCCAGACUCCUACGGGAGGCAGCAGUAGGGAAUCUUCCGCAAUGGGCGAAAGCCGGACGGAGCAACGCCGCGUGAGUGAUGAAGGUCUUCGGAUCGUAAAACUCUGUUAUUAGGGAAGAACAUAUGUGUAAGUACCUGGGAACAUCUUGACGGUACCGAAUCAGAAAGCCACGGCUAACUACGUG
RNAcentral lists this ribosomal RNA (497 nucleotides) under uncultured bacterium. RNAcentral describes it as "partial 16S ribosomal RNA". It matches the Rfam family "Bacterial small subunit ribosomal RNA", at positions 28 to 507 of the family's 1533-position model. The record is from RNAcentral.